RNAcentral lists this ribosomal RNA (253 nucleotides) under uncultured bacterium. RNAcentral's name for it is "partial 16S ribosomal RNA". It matches the Rfam family "Bacterial small subunit ribosomal RNA", at positions 524 to 776 of the family's 1533-position model. The record is from RNAcentral.
UACGGAGGGUGCAAGCGUUAUCCGGAUUCACUGGGUUUAAAGGGUGCGUAGGCGGGCAUUUAAGUCAGUGGUGAAAUACCUGAGCUUAACUUGGGAACUGCCAUUGAUACUAUUUGUCUUGAAUGUCGUGGAGGUUAGCGGAAUAUGUCAUGUAGCGGUGAAAUGCUUAGAUAUGACAUAGAACACCUAUUGUGAAGGCAGCUAACUACGCGAAUAUUGACGCUGAGGCACGAAAGCGUGGGGAUCAAACAGG